CGGGGCCCCGCACAAGCAGCGGAGCAUGCGGCUUAAUUCGACGCAACGCGAAGAACCUUACCAAGGCUUGACAUAUACAGGAAUACGGCAGAGAUGUCGUAGCGGUAAAACGUCUGUAUACAGGUGGUGCAUGGUUGUCGUCAGCUCGUGUCGUGAGAUGUUGGGUUAAGUCCCGCAACGAGCGCAACCCUCGUUCUGUGUUGCCAGCAUUUAGUUGGGGACUCACAGGAGACUGCCGGGGUUAACUCGGAGGAAGGUGGGGAUGACGUCAAAUCAUCAUGCCCCUUAUGUCUUGGGCUGCACGCAUGCUACAAUGGCUGGUACAAACGGCUGCAAUACCGCAAGGUGGAGCGAAUCCGAUAAAGCCAGUCUCAGUUCGGAUUGGGGUCUGCAACUCGACCCCAUGGAGUCGGAGUUGCUAGUAAUCGUAGAUCAGCAACGCUACGGUGAAUACGUUCCCGGGGCUGUACACACCGCCCGUCACGUCACGA
RNAcentral lists this ribosomal RNA (491 nucleotides) under uncultured Actinomycetes bacterium. RNAcentral describes it as "bacterial SSU rRNA". It matches the Rfam family "Bacterial small subunit ribosomal RNA", at positions 914 to 1407 of the family's 1533-position model. The record is from RNAcentral. Lineage: Bacteria; Bacillati; Actinomycetota; Actinomycetes.